UGUAUAUGUUGUUUAACCACUUUAAUUUUAUUAAUCAAAACUGAGCUAUGAGUAUCCAAGAUAUGGGUAUUUUGUAUCGCUGAAGACAUUGUGGUGUAUGAUGAGAUUGAUGCCUUGAGUAGUCGAUACAGAAUUUCGCAGAGAGGAGUACAUAAUUUAAAGCUUCUAUGCUCAGAUUAUUUUUUCGCUAUUAUAAAUCUGAUGCUGUCUUCUUAGCUUUUCCUUUACACAGUUAGAUGUUACGAACUUUUGUAUUGCCCUCUAUAUACUGAUAUGCUAUGCUAUCCUCGC
Non-coding RNA from Schizosaccharomyces pombe (fission yeast), 291 nucleotides. NCBI's taxonomy places the organism in Eukaryota, Fungi, Ascomycota, Schizosaccharomycetes, Schizosaccharomycetales, Schizosaccharomycetaceae. The record is from the annotation of a GenBank genome assembly.